RNAcentral lists this long non-coding RNA (222 nucleotides) under Sander lucioperca (pikeperch). Its description in RNAcentral is "lncRNA (ENSSLUG00000017885.1)". Lineage: Eukaryota; Metazoa; Chordata; Actinopteri; Perciformes; Percidae. The record is from RNAcentral.
AGCGGGGGUCUGAAGCUGGCGACAGGUAGUCAGAGGUUAAGAUGAAAAGACAGCAGCAGCUUAGUUUAAGUGAUUUCUUUCUCAUGGGGAAGAAAAGAAAGAAAGGAAAUAGAUCAGAUGAAGUUCAGCUGGAAACUAACAGUGGUGAGGGUGAUGCAGGGAGAGCCAGCACUGCAGAGUUGCAGAGAUCAGAUGAAGUUCAGCUGGAAACUAACAGUGGUG